GACGAACGCUGGCGGCGUGCUUAACACAUGCAAGUCGAACGGAAAGGCCCUGCUUUUGUGCGGUGCUCGAGUGGCGAACGGGUGAGUAACACGUGAGUAACCUGCCCUUGACUUUGGGAUAACUUCAGGAAACUGGGGCUAAUACCGGAUAGGAGCUCCUGCUGCAUGAUGGGGGUUGGAAAGUUUCGGCGGUUGGGGAUGGACUCGCGGCUUAUCAGCUUGUUGGUGGGGUAGUGGCUUACCAAGGCUUUGACGGGUAGCCGGCCUGAGAGGGUGACCGGCCACAUUGGGACUGAGAUACGGCCCAGACUCCUACGGGAGGCAGCAGUGGGGAAUAUUGCACAAUGGGCGGAAGCCUGAUGCAGCAACGCCGCGUGCGGGAUGACGGCCUUCGGGUUGUAAACCGCUUUCGCCUGUGACGAAGCGUGAGUGACGGUAAUGGGUAAAGAAGCACCGGCGAACUACGU
Molecule: ribosomal RNA, 467 nt
Filed under: uncultured bacterium
Lineage: Bacteria
Description: partial 16S ribosomal RNA
Rfam family: Bacterial small subunit ribosomal RNA
Source: RNAcentral